CUCACAUUGCACCAGCGCACCUUGUAACAAAUGAACUCACAUUGCACCAGCGCACCUUGUAACAAAUGAACUCACAUUGCACCAGCGCACCUAGUAACAAAUGAACUCACAUUGCACCAGCGCACCUUGUAACAAAUGAACUCACAUUGCACCAGCGCACUUAGUAACAAAUAAACUCACAUUGCACCAGCGCACCUUGUAACAAAUGAACUCACAUUGCACCAGCGCACCUAGUAAUAAAUGAACUCACAUUGCACCAGCGCACCUUGUAACAAAUGAACUCACAUUGCACCAGCGCACCUAGUAACAAAUGAACUCACAUUGCACCAGCGCACCUUGUAAUAAAUGAACUCACAUUGCACCAGCGCACCUAGUAACAAAUGAACUAACAUUGCACCAGCGCACCUUGUAACAAAUGAACAUACUCUGCACCAGCGACAAACUUAUAACAGCGACGCACUUUAUAACACCUGAUGAUUUUUUGUAAUAUUACACGCAUAGUACAUGGCUAUCGCGUAUGGUAUGUUCCACAGGGGUGCGCCGUUGUCAGCACAGGAGUUACGGUGUAUUCCACGGAGACCCGUAGCGAAAAUGGCCCAUUAUAGCCUCGAAAGCACAUUUUGUUGUUUUAUUUUGCUUGCGUGACACUGCGUGCGUGACAGUAAGUAAGGUGUCAAUUUUAAGUAUAAUAUAUUGCCUGUGUGACACUGCGAAUGUGAUAGUGUGUCACGUGCCAACCUCAUGCAGUCAUUCCCUGCUUGCGUGACACGUCAUGUGCGAGUGUGACAGUGUGUCACGUGUUAACCAGUCACGUUGAGUGAUUUCUCUUGCUUGUGUCACGCUACGUGCGUGACAGGCUAUUUUUCUCUUACAAUUUGAUAAAUUUGAUUUUUUUUCUUGCUCUAUUUGAGCCUUUUUAUUAGCAGGAAGUUGUUUUGUUAAAAUACAGGGCUUUUUCUGCUAUCUGCGGAGUGAUCGGUGAUAUUCGCAUUGUUAUUCUAUGAGCCGAUGGAUUGUUCUAAGCUUGUUUACCCGUGACGUCAAUAGUGCCCUUUGUUUCCGGAGUGAGCGUGGAAAGACUUGAUAAAAUCAAAAAUAUUUUCACUCGCUUCAGACGGCGCGCAUUUAGAAACGUCUACUGGAGAGAAGCCUUUUACCCGUAGUCUUUAGUAUUCAGCAAUUGCCCCUCGCUGCUACGGUACUCCUCUUCUACCUGUGCGGCUAUUUGCGGUGUGAAAUUUCAUACAGUUAAUAGGUAAAGACGUCACUAUCUGUCAGCCAGAGCUCCAUCUCUCCGUUAGUGUGUCUGCAAGUUGUGCAAUUUGCUAAGCUCUUGGUUCUUGCUAUCACUGAAUGCAUGAUGAAGCGUCGGGGAAGCCGACGAGAAAGUCGGACAAGUCGAUCAAGCUUCAACCCCGAGUCGUCAACAUCCACCAAGACAAAGAAGUUAGUGGCGGAUGUAUUACUUGUUUGCGAACUAUUAUUGUUCAUUACCCUUGCUGCUCUCGCUGGCAAAAAGGACCCACCGACUGCCUCGGACCCGAACGAGCGAAGUAGAUCUGCUACUUCUAGUACUAGCAGCUCUGCAAGUAGAUAACCGAUGGUACCACCGGAAACCCAUAAAUCAUUAAACCGAGGCUACCACCGGAAAGCCAUAAAUCAUGAAACCGAGGCUAUCAUUGGAAACCCACGAUGAAUAAUGAAACAGGGCCUACCACAGAAAACCAGGGGGUAGUUAUCAGGAAGCCUUCUGUUAUGGCUCUUGGCCCAAGGCAUCCGGCGUCUAUCCGGCGUCGUCAUCUAUUCCUGCUCAGUUAACCAUCUUAACUUCGUGUCAAAAAGGGUCCUGAGGAAUUGGUGAUGGAUAUCUACUAAUCUACUCUCAGACUUUAUAUGGUGAUUAUCUAUCUAUAUUGGCCGCUUCACAUCGCACUUGCGGCGUAGGCUAAUGUGAAGGUAGACAAAUGAUCAGAUAAUUACAAAAAAAUAUAAAAAAAACCGGUUACUCUAGAUACUAGAAGUAGUUUGAAAGGAGGCUGAUGUCAUGUGAGCGAGCGCCGAUAGCAGUAUAGAGGCUGAUGUCAUGUGAGCGAGCGCCGAUAGCAGUAAAGAGGCUGAUGUCAUGUGAGCGAGCGCCGAUAGCAGUAUAGAGGCUGAUGUCAUGUGAGCGAGCGCCGAUAGCAGUAUAGUGAAUACCGCCUUGGCGCAAACCUAGCAUAAAGAACUUUGGACAUUAGAUGUUAGGAAUAACGGCGAGAUUGAGUUUUUUUAGGAAAGCCGUUUUCUCCUGUUUUAUUAUUAGUGUUCAAGGUCAGAUAUAUAUUGUAUAUAUUAUAGAACUUGCCUGAGCCCUAAUGUCAUAAUCAUGCAAUAAAUUGUAAAUAACUUCUAA
Molecule: long non-coding RNA, 2392 nt
Organism: Nematostella vectensis (starlet sea anemone)
Lineage: Eukaryota; Metazoa; Cnidaria; Anthozoa; Actiniaria; Edwardsiidae
Exons: 2
Source: RefSeq, a predicted model, not a curated record